This 252-nucleotide ribosomal RNA is filed under the name uncultured bacterium. RNAcentral's name for it is "partial 16S ribosomal RNA". It matches the Rfam family "Bacterial small subunit ribosomal RNA", at positions 525 to 776 of the family's 1533-position model. The record is from RNAcentral.
UCGAAGGGUGCAAGCGUUACUCGGAAUUACUGGGCGUAAAGCGUGCGUAGGUGGUGAGUUAAGUCUGUCGUGAAAGCCCCGGGCUCAACCUGGGAAUGGCGAUGGAUACUGGCUCGCUAGAGUGCGGUAGAGGAGAGUGGAAUUCCCGGUGUAGCAGUGAAAUGCGUAGAGAUCGGGAGGAACAUCAGUUGCGAAGGCGGCUCUCUGGACCAGCACUGACACUGAGGCACGAAAGCGUGGGGAGCAAACAGG